Suricata suricatta (meerkat) is the source of this 546-nucleotide long non-coding RNA. RefSeq lists it as uncharacterized. Lineage: Eukaryota; Metazoa; Chordata; Mammalia; Carnivora; Herpestidae. The transcript has 4 exons. The record is from RefSeq and is a predicted model, not a curated record.
CUGAAAACAAAUGAAGAGUUCGUCCUCUGAUUGUGUUUCUACAGUUUGUUUUCAAAAGAUCAGAAGAGCUGUGGAAGACCUGUUUUGCCCUGGUGUAUACUUUUAGAAGUUACAUUGCUAGACUUUUAAUUCAGGAAUAUUUCAAUUUACAAUUUGGAAACUGGGGGAUGUGAGCUACUUGAAGACUUUCCAGGUCAGCAGGAGCAUGGCCACUGCUUCUCUCUCUGUAAGGGCCUACCUGAUUAGAUGAGGCCCACCCACAAUGAUCUGUCUUUUGUUGAACUCCAAGUCAACUGAUUUUCAACCCGAUCAUGAGGACAUACCUGCUCAUUCUGCAGUCAAUGCCUACAACUAAGGAAAGAGAUUAUAUAAGGCUGCAGUAAGUAGGCUGAAGGACAACAGCCUGAAGCGUCAUAGAGGCCUUCUCACUUGGCCAAGGCACACUUUUACUCUCUUGAAAGGGCCUUUGUAUGGCUGAGUAUGCUCACUUUUUCAUCUUCCUGAGGUUUAUUUGUUCAUCAGUUGAUGGGCUUCAGGAUGUUUCUA